This 459-nucleotide ribosomal RNA is filed under the name uncultured bacterium. Its description in RNAcentral is "partial 16S ribosomal RNA". It matches the Rfam family "Bacterial small subunit ribosomal RNA", at positions 338 to 795 of the family's 1533-position model. The record is from RNAcentral.
CCUACGGGCGGCAGCAGUGAGGAAUAUUGGUCAAUGGGCGGGAGCCUGAACCAGCCAAGCCGCGUGAAGGAAGAAGGCGCCAGGCGUCGUAAACUUCUUUUGUCGGGGAACAAAGGCGCCCACGGGUGGGCGGAUGAGUGUACCCGAAGAAAAAGCAUCGGCUAACUCCGUGCCAGCAGCCGCGGUAAUACGGAGGAUGCGAGCGUUAUCCGGAUUUAUUGGGUUUAAAGGGUGCGUAGGCGGACAGUCAAGUCAGCGGUAAAAAUGCGGUGCUCAACGCCGUACAGCCGUUGAAACUGGCAGUCUUGAGUGGGCGAGAAGUAUGCGGAAUGCGUGGUGUAGCGGUGAAAUGCAUAGAUAUCACGCAGAACUCCGAUUGCGAAGGCAGCAUACCGGCGCCCGACUGACGCUGAGGCACGAAAGCGUGGGUAUCGAACAGGAUUAGAUACACUAGUAGUC